RNAcentral lists this ribosomal RNA (408 nucleotides) under Fusobacteriota bacterium. RNAcentral's name for it is "Fusobacteria bacterium partial 16S ribosomal RNA". It matches the Rfam family "Bacterial small subunit ribosomal RNA", at positions 355 to 776 of the family's 1533-position model. Lineage: Bacteria; Fusobacteriati; Fusobacteriota. The record is from RNAcentral.
UGGGGAAUAUUGCACAAUGGACGGAAGUCUGAUGCAGCAACGCCGCGUUCGGGAUGACGGCCUUCGGGUUGUAAACCGCUUUUUCUCAUGACGAAGUUUUUUGACGGUAGUGGGGGAAGAAGCACCGGCUAACUACGUGCCAGCAGCCGCGGUGAUACGUAGGGUGCGAGCGUUGUCCGGAAUUAUUGGGCGUAAAGAGCUUGUAGGCGGUUUGUCGCGUCGAUAGUGCAAACUCAGUGCUUAACGCUGAGCCUGCUGUUGAUACGGGCAGACUAGAGGAAGGUAGGGGAGAAUGGAAUUCCCGGUGGAGCGGUGGAAUGCGCAGAUAUCGGGAGGAACACCGGUGGCGAAGGCGGUUCUCUGGGCCUUUCCUGACGCUGAGAAGCGAAAGCGUGGGGAGCGAACAGG